AGUUUGAUCCUGGCUCAGGAUGAACGCUAGCGGCAGGCUUAACACAUGCAAGCCCAGGGGCAGCGAGGGGAGCAAUACCUGUNNNNNNNNNNNNNNCACGGGUGCGUAACGCGUAUGCAACCUACCUUUAACUGGAGCAUAGCCCCGAGAAAUCGGGAUUAAUACUCCAUAACAACAAGAAGUGGCAUCACUUUUUAUUUAAAGCUUUGGCGGUUAAAGAUGGCCAUGCGUGGCAUUAGUUAGUUGGUGAGGUAACGGCUUACCAUAGCUACGAUGUCUAGGGGUUCUGAGAGGAUGAUCCCCCACACUGGUACUGAGACACGGACCAGACUCCUACGGGAGGCAGCAGUGAGGAAUAUUGGUCAAUGGGCGAAAGCCUGAACCAGCCAUGCCGCGUGAAGGAUGAAGGCCUUAUGGGUUGUAAACUUCUUUUAUACGGGAAUAAACUUAGCUAUAUGGGAAGGAAUGACGGUACCGUAUGAAUAAGCACCGGCUAACUCCGUGCCAGCAGCCGCGGUAAUACGGAGGGUGCAAGCGUUAUCCGGAUUUAUUGGGUUUAAAGGGUCCGCAGGCGGACCAAUAAGUCAGUGGUGAAAUCUCUCGGCUCAACCGAGAAACUGCCAUUGAUACUGUUGGUCUAGAGUGUAGUUGGCGUAGGCGGAAUGUAUCAUGUAGCGGUGAAAUGCUUAGAUAUGAUACAGAACACCGAUCGCGAAGGCAGCUUACGAAACUACAACUGACGCUCAGGGACGAAAGCGUGGGGAGCGAACAGGAUUAGAUACCCUGGUAGUCCACGCUGUAAACGAUGAUAACUCGCUGUCGGCGAUAAACAGUCGGUGGCCAAGCGAAAGCGAUAAGUUAUCCACCUGGGGAGUACGAUCGCAAGGUUGAAACUCAAAGGAAUUGACGGGGGCCCGCACAAGCGGAGGAGCAUGUGGUUUAAUUCGAUGCUACGCGAAGAACCUUACCAGGGCUUGACAUGCUAAUGACGUACUGGGAAAGGGGUAUUUCUUCGGACAAUCUACAAGGUGCUGCAUGGUUGUCGUCAGCUCGUGCCGUGAGGUGUCGGGUUAAGUCCCAUAACGAGCGCAACCCCUACUCUUAGUUGCCAGCAUGUAAUGAUGGGGACUCUAGGAGGACUGCCUACGCAAGUAGUGAGGAAGGUGGGGAUGACGUCAAAUCAGCACGGCCCUUACGUCCAGGGCUACACACGUGCUACAAUGGCCGGUACAGAGGGCAGCCACCUGGUGACAGGGAGCGAAUCUCUAAAGCCGGUCUCAGUUCGGAUCGAAGUCUGCAACCCGACUUCGUGAAGCUGGAAUCGCUAGUAAUCGCGCAUCAGCCAUGGCGCGGUGAAUACGUUCCCGGGCCUUGUACACACCGCCCGUCAAGCCAUGGAAGCUGGGGGUACCUGAAGUCGGUUACCGCAAGGAGCUGCCUAGGGUAAAACUAGUAACUGGGGCUAAGUCGUAACAAGGUAACC
This 1483-nucleotide ribosomal RNA is filed under the name uncultured bacterium. RNAcentral describes it as "16S ribosomal RNA". It matches the Rfam family "Bacterial small subunit ribosomal RNA". The record is from RNAcentral.